ACAGAGGGGGCAAGCGUUGUUCGGAAUUACUGGGCGUAAAGGGCGCGUAGGCGGCCCGUUUAGUCAGAUGUGAAAGCCCCGGGCUCAACCUGGGAACUGCGUCCGAUACUGGCAGGCUUGAAUCCGGGAGAGGGAUGCGGAAUUCCAGGUGUAGCGGUGAAAUGCGUAGAUAUCUGGAGGAACACCGGUGGCGAAGGCGGCAUCCUGGACCGGCAUUGACGCUGAGGCGCGAAAGCCAGGGGAGCAAACGGGA
RNAcentral lists this ribosomal RNA (253 nucleotides) under uncultured prokaryote. RNAcentral's name for it is "partial 16S ribosomal RNA". It matches the Rfam family "Bacterial small subunit ribosomal RNA", at positions 525 to 777 of the family's 1533-position model. The record is from RNAcentral.